RNAcentral lists this ribosomal RNA (499 nucleotides) under uncultured bacterium. RNAcentral describes it as "partial 16S ribosomal RNA". It matches the Rfam family "Bacterial small subunit ribosomal RNA", at positions 30 to 523 of the family's 1533-position model. The record is from RNAcentral.
AUUGAACGCUGGCGGUAUGCUUAACACAUGCAAGUCGAACGAUGAGAAAGAGCUUGCUCUUUCGAUUAGUGGCGGACGGGUGCGUAACGCGUAGGAAUCUACCUAUUAGUGGGGGACAACUUAGGGAAACUUAAGCUAAUACCGCAUACGACCUAAGGGGGAAAGAAGGGGAUCGCAAGACCUUUUGCUAAUAGAUGAGCCUGAGUAGGAUUAGCUAGUUGGUGGGGUAAAAGCUCAACAAGGCGACGAUCCUUAACUGGUUUGAGAGAAUGAUCAGUCACACUGGAACUGAGACACGGUCCAGACUCCUACGGGAGGCAGCAGUGGGGAAUAUUGGACAAUGGGCGAAAGCCUGAUCCAGCAAUACCGCGUGUGUGAAGAAGGCCUUAGGGUUGUAAAGCACUUUCAAUUGGAAGGAAAACCUCGAAGCUAAUACCUUCGAGUUUGACAUUACCUUUAGAAGAAGCACCGGCUAACUCCGUGCCAGCCGCCGCAGUAA